Molecule: ribosomal RNA, 468 nt
Filed under: uncultured bacterium
Lineage: Bacteria
Description: partial 16S ribosomal RNA
Rfam family: Bacterial small subunit ribosomal RNA
Source: RNAcentral
GACGAACGCUGGCGGCGUGCUUAACACAUGCAAGUCGAACGAUUAAAGAGGAGCUUGCUCCUCUUGAUUAGUGGCGAACGGGUGUGUAACACGUGAGCAUUCUUCCCCUUACUCCGGAAUAACUACGCGAAACUGUAGCUAAUACCUGAUAUGCGCCGAACAAGCAUCUGUAUCUGUGGGAAAGAAUUUCGGUCCUGGAUGUGCUGGCGGCGUAUCAGCUUGUUUGUGAGGUAACGGCUCACCAAGUCGACGACGGCUAGCCUGCAUGGGAGCGGUGACAGGGACAAUAGGACUGAGACAGGGAGCAGACGCGAACGGGAGGCAGUAGGGGGAAAUAUUGCACAGUGGGGGCAAGUGUGAGGCAGAAACGUUGGGUGAGGAAUGACGGCUUACGGGUGGUAAACCUCUGUUAGCAGGGAAGAAGCGAAAGUGACGGUACCUGCAGAAAAAGCGCCGGCUAACUACGUG